Molecule: ribosomal RNA, 301 nt
Filed under: uncultured bacterium
Lineage: Bacteria
Description: partial 16S ribosomal RNA
Rfam family: Bacterial small subunit ribosomal RNA
Source: RNAcentral
CAGUCGCCGCGGUAAUACGGAGGGUGCAAGCGUUAAUCGGAAUUACUGGGCGUAAAGAGUGCGUAGGCGGCUUUUUAAGUCGGAUGUGAAAUCCCUGAGCUUAACUUAGGAAUUGCAUUCGAUACUGGGAAGCUAGAGUAUGGGAGAGGAUGGUAGAAUUCCAGGUGUAGCGGUGAAAUGCGUAGAGAUCUGGAGGAAUACCGAUGGCGAAGGCAGCCAUCUGGCCUAAUACUGACGCUGAGGUACGAAAGCAUGGGGAGCAAACAGGAUUAGAUACCCCCGUAGUCCCUGUCUCUUAUAC